Long non-coding RNA from Nelumbo nucifera (sacred lotus), 799 nucleotides. RefSeq lists it as uncharacterized. The record is from RefSeq and is a predicted model, not a curated record. Lineage: Eukaryota; Viridiplantae; Streptophyta; Magnoliopsida; Proteales; Nelumbonaceae.
GCAUAGGUGAGGAACAAACAAGAAUGAUGCUAGAAAGAAUAGCAAACCCUGUGCCCGCUUUUGCCAGGUGAAGAGUAGCAAUUGAAGAGGAAAGAACCAAGAAGAGGGGCAACUGGAGAGGAGCAAACAGAGGAACGAGGAACCCAGGAAGAACGAUUUCAGCCCCAUUGGAGAGGAACAACAAACCCAGGAAGAACGAUUUCGGUCCCAUUGGAGAGGAACGAUGAAGCCAGGAAUAAUGAUUUCGGCCAAGUGUUGCUCAAAAUGCUUGUCGUGUUGGAUGCGAUGUCAAUGCAGUCUUCGACAUCUAGAGGUUCCUACCUCAAAUACAAGAAUAAAAUAUGCAAAUGCGGUCGAAAAGCUACAAUACGAGCCUCCGAACAGGUUCAAACUAAAAAAAGUUUAAUUUUUUUCAUGGUCCAACCCUUCUGAUGAAGAUGAUGACUAAGACAAUUAUCCAAUGGUUGAGUAGGGAAGAGGUAACCAAUAUAAAAUUGAAGGCCAUGAGGAAGGAAGAAAUAGUGGCUCAGUUAUAUGAGAUGAAAGGAGUGUUGGCUGACUUGGGUGCAAAGGUGGAUGGACAAAAUUCAUCACGCAAACCAACAAGUAGUAUGGCAGUGGUGGCUAUUUUCUUUAUUGUCAUUUGGGUCAUCUUCAAGGUUCUCUAGUGUUACAAGUCUAAGAGAGUCUUGGUUUAUGGAUAUGUAAUCAAACAUUUAGUUUUGGUUUUCUAAAUGAUGCUCAUGAAAUGAUGAGAAUGAAACGUAUUUGGUUUUAUGGUAGAGUUUAGUUGAAUCCA